ACUAAGUCGUAACAAGGUAGCCGUAGGGGAACCUGCGGCUGGAUCACCUCCUUUCUAAGGGAUAAUUU
RNAcentral lists this ribosomal RNA (68 nucleotides) under Candidatus Zhuqueibacterota bacterium. Its description in RNAcentral is "candidate division KSB1 bacterium partial 16S ribosomal RNA". The stretch from base 1 to 54 matches the Rfam family "Bacterial small subunit ribosomal RNA", at positions 1480 to 1533 of the family's 1533-position model. The record is from RNAcentral. Lineage: Bacteria; Pseudomonadati.